Molecule: ribosomal RNA, 252 nt
Filed under: uncultured bacterium
Lineage: Bacteria
Description: partial 16S ribosomal RNA
Rfam family: Bacterial small subunit ribosomal RNA
Source: RNAcentral
GCAAGUCGAGCGGAAACGAUAAAGAGCUUGCUCUUUAGGCGUCGAGCGGCGGACGGGUGAGUAAUGCUUGGGAAUAUGCCUUAUGGUGGGGGACAACAGUUGGAAACGACUGCUAAUACCGCAUAAUGUCUACGGACCAAAGGGGGGGAUCUUCGGACCUCUCGCUCAUUGAUUAGCCCAAGUGAGAUUAGCUAGUUGGUGAGGUAAUGGCUCACCAAGGCAACGAUCCCUAGCUGGUUUGAGAGGAUGAUU